This 398-nucleotide long non-coding RNA is filed under the name Prunus persica (peach). Its description in RNAcentral is "long non-coding RNA (PPER_LNC004722)". The record is from RNAcentral. Lineage: Eukaryota; Viridiplantae; Streptophyta; Magnoliopsida; Rosales; Rosaceae.
AAAACGCAAACAAUUGCACAAGGGACACACAAUAUGUUGACGCAGUAAAAAACCUCAAGAUGAGGAAAACAACUGCUGGCACUAUGCUGGAGAACAAAUCACUAUGAGAAAGAAUACAAAAAGGUCUUACAAGUCUCAACUCACAAGACUAACGCUUACAAGGCAGACUUGCCUACUUGCCUUUGCUACUCAACCCAACUAGCGAUCUUGUCUUCCUUCGUCAACAAGAGAUGGCACAACUCUGGUCUCGGCUGCUCACACCUCAAGGCACGAUUGCUGAUCACCAACAUGCAUAAUGCUCAUGAACUCACACAUAUAUGAAAAGAUAAUGAUUUAAUCACUCAUGGAGGCUAACAAGGGAUAGCCACAUGAGUUUUCAAUAUAAACUCUCAAAAAAC